GGCUCUGUGGUGCAAUGGAUAGUGUGGACUUCUAGGCUGUGAGUUGAGCCAUUCAAAGGUUGUGGGUUCGAGUCCCACCAGAGUUG
RNAcentral lists this transfer RNA (86 nucleotides) under Danio rerio (zebrafish). It matches the Rfam family "tRNA". Rfam says of the family: Transfer RNA (tRNA) molecules are approximately 80 nucleotides in length. Their secondary structure includes four short double-helical elements and three loops (D, anti-codon, and T loops). Further hydrogen bonds mediate the characteristic L-shaped molecular structure. tRNAs have two regions of fundamental functional importance: the anti-codon, which is responsible for specific mRNA codon recognition, and the 3' end, to which the tRNAs corresponding amino acid is attached (by aminoacyl-tRNA synthetases). tRNAs cope with the degeneracy of the genetic code in two manners: having more than one tRNA (with a specific anti-codon) for a particular amino acid; and 'wobble' base-pairing, i.e. permitting non-standard base-pairing at the 3rd anti-codon position. Lineage: Eukaryota; Metazoa; Chordata; Actinopteri; Cypriniformes; Danionidae. The record is from Rfam by way of RNAcentral.